UAUAUAUGCACACAAACAAGCUCAGGAUCAACCUGAAUCUGCACAUUGUAACAUUUUCUCAUCAAACAGACUUGUGACAGCAGGUUGUAGGUGGAAGAUAUGUGCUUGUGGCUCCAUUGAUGAUUAUCAACUAAAUAUGGAUAGAUCAGACAUUGGACAGUAUGUGAGAGACCUAUUGUCUUCUUUGGAGGAGAUGGAAGAACAUCUGGCACGCCUGCGGUUAUUGCGAUUUGGGCACUAUCUUGAGAAAAUCAACAGGAGCUCAGAUGAAAGGAGACGAUUGAUAAAGCUUGCAGAGGAAAACUGCAGGAAUCACACUGUCCUUCAGUGGCUGAGAGAAAACUCAGAGUCCGACACCUUCAUCAAACUGGUGGAAGUGUUCAAUUUCCUGAAAAAACACAUUGAUGAAGAAGAGAAGAAGAACCACGGUGACCAUGUGGACAUCACCUUUGUGGCACAUGGAGCAAUCAGAGACUUCAUGAUCCCAGCCAGCUGUCUGCUGCCUCUACCCACCAUCACUGACGUGGUGCUGUACGCUCCGUGGAACUGUGUCACCACCAGUACUGUAACAUAUGCAAUUGCCACAGGAAAAAUUCGGCCUGAGCACAGAGUUUUUUACUGUGACAAACGAGAUGACUGUAAAACACCUGAUGAAAAACAUCGACCCAUAAAUCUGCCAAACCACUGGAACUCCAUGAAGAUGGCUGGAGACCAGAUGAUCCCAAACAUCAUAGUCAGCCCUCUACAAGCAGACGAUGGUGUGUGGAAACAUUUUAAGUAUCUCACAGAAAAACAUGGUGAACUGGGCAGAAAUAAAAUCAUCAUCCCGUUCAUCCUACCAGAUGAGGAAAGCGACAGUGUUCCAUUCUCUGUGGUGACUUUGGCCCUCUCUCUGGUGCUCCUCACCUCCAGGUUCACAGCCACCGUCCACUUCGAUGCUUGUUUGGGUGACAGAUCUGCUGGACAGAGAUUUGACAAAGACUAUCUGCAGAGGCAGUACGCCUGUGCAAUUGACAACACUGGAAUGACAUUUUCAACAGACAUGUUAAACUCAACCUGCACUUUAUUAUAGGAGUUUGAACGGUUCUGCUUGUUUAUGUGGUAUUUAGUAGAAAACACAAGUGAGAGUAAGGAUACUGACGGUUGACACUGAAACAGUGUGAAUACAUUGACAUUCUCUGUAGAGUUCAGGAAUUACUGUAUUAAAUAAUAAUUGUGAUGUAGUUCCAAAGAAUGUUAAAUUACACUGUGAUUUUUUUAAAACCAGUUUUCACCAGCUGUGAACAGCCAGACUUGUUUUGUCAUGGCCGUUUUACUUGUUUGUGUGUAAGGGAC
Molecule: long non-coding RNA, 1335 nt
Organism: Parambassis ranga (Indian glassy fish)
Lineage: Eukaryota; Metazoa; Chordata; Actinopteri; Ambassidae
Source: Ensembl